This 470-nucleotide ribosomal RNA is filed under the name uncultured Longilinea sp. RNAcentral describes it as "bacterial SSU rRNA". It matches the Rfam family "Bacterial small subunit ribosomal RNA", at positions 917 to 1381 of the family's 1533-position model. The record is from RNAcentral. Lineage: Bacteria; Bacillati; Chloroflexota; Anaerolineae; Anaerolineales; Anaerolineaceae.
GACGGGCCCGCACAAGCAGCGGAGCGUGUGGUUUAAUUCGAUGUUACACGAAGAACCUUACCAGGGUUUGACAUGCAAGUGGUAGGAAGCCGAAAGGUGACCGACCCUUCGGGGAGCUUGCACAGGUGCUGCAUGGCUGUCGUCAGCUCGUGUCGUGAGAUGUUCGGUUAAGUCCCGUAACGAGCGCAACCCUUGUCCAUAGUUGCCAGCACGUAAAGGUGGGAACUCUAUGGAGACUGCCGGUGACAAACCGGAGGAAGGUGGGGAUGACGUCAAAUCAUCAUGCCCCUUAUGUUCUGGGCUACACACGUGCUACAAUGGCCGGUACAGACGGAGGCGAAGCCGCGAGGCGGAGCAAAACCGAAAAAGCCGGUCUCAGUUCGGAUUGCAGGCUGCAAUUCGCCUGCAUGAAGUCGGAAUCGCUAGUAAUCGCAGGUCAGCAUACUGCGGUGAAUACGUUCCCGGGCCUU